UUUUAAUUAUAAAAAUAAGUAUCCUUUAGCCUUUAAUUCGUUUGUCUAAGUUUUUGAUAUAAACAUUUACCAUUUACAAAAUAAAUCUAUGCAAUAAAUAAUGACACGGGCAACAAUUUAGAGGUAAACUAAUGUGCCAGCUACCGCGGUUAAACAUUAUCUAGUGAAUUAUUACUUGUUAUUGUUGUUUUUAUGCAUAUCUAUUAAACAAACACUUAGUGAAAUAUUCACUUGUAAUUUUGAUGUAUCCAACAACAAAUGAAUUUAGCCAUAAAACUAGGAUUAGAUACCCUACUAUUCUAUAUUUUAAAAAAUAAGAAGUAAAAUAAAAUUUAAACUUAAUCAGGAUGGCAGUAGAGUUUCUUAGAGGAGAUUGUUCUUUAAUCGAUAACCCUCGUUUAAUUCUUUUACUAAAUUAUGUAUAUCGCCGUUGAAAUUCAAUUUUAGAUUGAAUUACUUAUUUAAAUAUAUGUCAACAGGUCUAGAUACAAAUAAUGUAAAAGUGUGUAAUGAUCUACAAAUACAAAUAAUUUUAGUAAUAGUGAAACAUAAAUAAAAUUUACUAUUAAAGGAUUUAAAAGUAAUAUUGUCUAAAUUUUAUAACAGAAUGAACCAUAUAAUACUUUAUGCACAUAUCGCCCGUCACCCUCUAAGAGGUAAGUCGUAACAAAGUAGAUUUUUCGGAAGAAGAAUCUAGAUU
This 700-nucleotide non-coding RNA is filed under the name Trichuris rhinopiptheroxella. Lineage: Eukaryota; Metazoa; Nematoda; Enoplea; Trichinellida; Trichuridae. The record is from RNAcentral.